GCCAUUCUCUCCCUCUCCUCUUCUCUUGGGCGAAGCCAUGGCAAUUUGGUUCCCCACCUUAUCAUUUUCCUUGAGAUACGGUUCCUUGCAUUGUAAGCUAGAUACUUAGAAGUAGGACGUGAAAAUUUAGGAGUAGUUGGAUCUUGUUGUUAGCUUUCCAUAGACAUCAAGCACACUUGAAUCCGAGCUAAGACAAAGGAGUUAGGACGAUUUUACUGCCAGGGGGUCUUCUGCCGGGCAGAUUCGAAGGACUCACUUUGAAGGGCGAUUGCUGGCGGACCACAACGCGUUUGGAGCUGAGUUUUGGAUGCUGUUAGAUCUUGAAGUUAGCUCUCCAGAAAGUGACAGACGUAGGUCUUCUGGCGCUAGUUUACCUCUCCAAGCUGCACGAGGAAGUCCAUAGUGCUCCUCACAAUUGCCUCCUCCAGGCCUCGGAUCACAAACUAAGGUUUUGCCAGGACGCACUUCCCAAUGUUCAUUGAGUGCGUCGUGAUUUCAAACGGAAAACAGCCUUUGCACUCUUCCCAAAGCUCUCGCUGAGCAUCCGUAAUUUUCUGGAAGCUGGUCCAAGACCAACUCGUGACCCUGAAGGAGUUGCUGCUCUUGUCAUCGUGGAUGUUGAGCUGCCCCCACCACUGGACCUCCAUUUCUUUGCCGUCGGCUCACUUGGUGUUUCUGGGGCUGUAGACUGGCGCCUUAAAGGAACACGACAUGCGCUCCUGGGCAUAGUUGUUUCUGAAGUCGUGGGUGUUCCGGCCCCAGCUCGUCUCAAAUGUUGAUGACGGGAAGGAGUAGGGAUGACAGGAACAGGCUUGGCUUCAAAUGUUGACAUUAACUGCAGAAUUUGCCUCAGCCGCUUGUUCACUUUCUCUGCAUUAUCAUUAGUCCAUGGCUCAAACUUCAGGAAUGCAUCCUUCAGGGCACCCAACGAGUUUCUCUGUAGAGCAAUUCCUUGAAAUCGAACUGCCCACUAGAUGAUCCCACUUUCACAACAAUCAAAUGACAGUGAGGCAAGUCAUAUCCGGCUUCAUCAAACACUUGGAUGCCUAAUACAAUGUACUCCCUCCGCUGAUGCUCCACAAAUGUCACCCUCUCCUUUCGGUCAAGGUGCACGUACGGAGUAUCACCUCUCUCUCUAUGCAUUAUUUGCACAUGCUUCCCACAUCUUGAGAGGGACUAGCUCUUCAUGCAGUCCUUGAACAUCCACAGUUGUCCAUAAUUUUCAACAACGUCGUUGAUGAAAGGCUCUGGUUCCAAGGGAUUUACAAAAUGUUCCAAGAAGAAAUCCGAUGCACAGUAGUUGUAAUUGUCCGCCACAUCCAUUGCAGUCAUCUGCAAAAAUCAAUGAAACUACGUGAAUUCAUUCGGA
Physcomitrium patens is the source of this 1369-nucleotide long non-coding RNA. RefSeq lists it as uncharacterized. Lineage: Eukaryota; Viridiplantae; Streptophyta; Bryopsida; Funariales; Funariaceae. The record is from RefSeq and is a predicted model, not a curated record.